Long non-coding RNA from Acanthopagrus latus (yellowfin seabream), 2223 nucleotides. RefSeq lists it as uncharacterized. The transcript has 3 exons. The record is from RefSeq and is a predicted model, not a curated record. Lineage: Eukaryota; Metazoa; Chordata; Actinopteri; Spariformes; Sparidae.
GGCUACUGCACUUUAUUUUAAGCGGCUACUGUUGGUGGUGAUGACGGCUGCUGCUGGUGGUGACGGUGGCUGCUGCUGGUGGUCAUGAUAGCUACUGUUGGUGGUGACUGCGGCUGACGAUGGUGGCGGUGGCUGCUGAGCCAUCUGGUGCCCAGUGAAGGAAAAGAAGGAAAGAAGAAGACGUGAAGAAGAAACAGCCUGACCCCUGUCCAGCCUUGAUGAUGCCUCUGUGACAAAAAGGACGACAAAUCCCCACCACUGUCCCAGCGCUAGAAAAGUAAUUAUUGCUGCAGCCAGCCGACCAGGACCUUAUCUACCAGAAGCACGCCGAGACAAAGGAAGCAUAUAGGUUCUUCUACAACCGCAGAUAUUCAGCUUGUCCACUCCCUGAGCUGCACCCAGGUCAGGAUAUCAGGGUGAAGCUCGAUGGGGAAACAGGUUGGAAGACACCUGCUAGAGUCAUCGGCAAAUCUAACAAGCCAAGAUCAUAUGUGGUGGAAAUGGACAAUGACACAGUGACUCGUCGCAACAGGCACCACCUUCAGGCUGCCCCUGAGACGGCUGAUCCAGUGGAGAAACAGCAGCAUGCCGCUCCCGUCCCACAACAGCAGGACUGCAGUUCCCCGACUACAAUGGUGGCUGUUCCACAAGAGCCAUCACAGAGCUUGCCAUUGUCAGGUCCCACCCUCAGGUCUCCUGCCUGGUCUACUGCUCCCUGGAGAUAGACUUCCAGAGGUCGUGAGGGUAAUCUGCCUCUUAGAUUUAGAGACUGAUAGAGACAGUGACUUUAAGUUCUCUUUAUUAGUUCUGCGUUAGUGUUGUUGUUACAGGAACCACAGACAGGAAGAAAACUUCAUCCUUCUCUCUCAUAAGGGCAGAAUAAUCCCUUCUCAGGACUGAGGGUAGUCUGCCCCGAUGAUGUCCGGUGUUCAGUUGUGGAGAGAGCAUGAGAGAGACUGGGAGAGAGUUACUAUGGAAAAGAAAACUAUUAAAGUUCAUGAAUGUGUGGCAAGUGGAGGGUAGAAAAGGUUGUCACCAACAAUGCCACCUGGGGAGUUUUGCCCCAGGAGAUAGUUAAUUGUUUAGAAGAAAUAAUUAAGUACCUUUACUAUUAUUACAGGUCACAUGGUCUGAAAUACCACGGGCAAGAGACAUUCUUAGAAAAAUAUAGACACAAUUUUAUUUAACAGUUAAUAAAUAAAACACAUCAGACAUCAUUGUCAUCAUCAUCAUCAGUGGCUGGCUCACAUGCUGCUAGACUGGGGCCAAAAUGAAGGGGUGAACAGGGCUGAGGUUGCCUCGGCGCCCAAACUCAAAUCAAGGGAAGGAUAAUUAACAAAAGCACCCGUGACACCGCACGCACAUUCGUGAAGAAAAAGGCCCACCAUCAGGGAUUGGGUCGCCGUCAGGGGCUCACAGCACCUGUCCACAAAGAAAAAGAGAAGAUAUAAACAGGCCUCACAGGUCUAGCACAGCCACUUUAAAACACACGGGCACACACACACACACACACACACACAAAACCCAACAAAGCAAUAUACAUUAACUGAAUAGUAAGGAAAUAAACACACAAAAAACAGAAAAUGGUUAUUAAACCAAGUUAACCAAAUUAAUACAAAGUCCCAUUCACAAUACAAGAUACACAAAUACUCUUAAUUGAUUAUAUUAUUUAAUUAAUGAAUGAAGUUCCCAGGAGCAGCAUAAGGAAAGGGCACACCAGGUGAAACCACCUGCUAUAUGGACGUGCCACCACCCAUCAAUCAGUGCACCAGAGAGACACAGCACCCCACUGUGAGAAGGAGUGAGGGUGCUCAGGCUACAUGUUACUGUUAAUUUACAAUAUUUAUAGUUGAAUUGUUACAAAUGUCGUCUGCCUUGUAGGUAAUAGGUUGAGAAGUAUGAAGGAAAAGUGUUUUCAGUUCAGUGGCAAGCAGUAAUCUCACUGACGCUUUAUAAUGUUUGUUUCUUCUAAAAAGGGGGAGAUGUUGUGAGAUAACUUUUUGUUCCUAUGAGGCUACCGUAGCCAGGGGAGUGCUGUGCGUAAUGACAUUAUCGGCGGAGUCAGGAAGUUUAUGUGAAUGAUUCUAGCCAUGUGGUGUAUGCUAGUGAAAUAAACGGAGUCACUAGAAAACUGUGUCUUGCCUAAUAUCAUGACAGGUAGUGUACUACUUUUUCAUGACAUCGCAAAUAAAACACGUUUUUCUUAAAACAAGAUUGAUAUCA